GUUUAAGUAGCUUAACACCCAAGCAUCAGCCUUGUAAACUGAAGAGUAGAGGUUAAAAACCUCUCUUAAACU
RNAcentral lists this transfer RNA (72 nucleotides) under Chikila fulleri (Kuttal caecilian). RNAcentral's name for it is "tRNA-Thr". It matches the Rfam family "tRNA". Rfam says of the family: Transfer RNA (tRNA) molecules are approximately 80 nucleotides in length. Their secondary structure includes four short double-helical elements and three loops (D, anti-codon, and T loops). Lineage: Eukaryota; Metazoa; Chordata; Amphibia; Gymnophiona; Chikilidae. The record is from RNAcentral.